This 305-nucleotide ribosomal RNA is filed under the name uncultured bacterium. RNAcentral's name for it is "partial 16S ribosomal RNA". It matches the Rfam family "Bacterial small subunit ribosomal RNA", at positions 508 to 807 of the family's 1533-position model. The record is from RNAcentral.
ACAGCAGCCGCCGCGGUAAUACGUAGGGGGCAAGCGUUAUCCGGAAUUACUGGGUGUAAAGGGAGCGUAGACGGUUAAACAAGUCUGAAGUGAAAUGCCGGGGCUCAACCCCGGAGCUGCUUUGGGAACUGUAGAACUGGAGUGUCGGAGGGGUAAGCGGAAUUCCCAGUGUAGCGGUGAAAUGCGUAGAUAUUGGGAGGAACACCGGCGGCGAAGGCGGCUUACUGGACGACAACUGACGUUGAGGCUCGAAGGCGUGGGUAGCAAACAGGAUUAGAGACCCCUGUAGACCCUGUCUCUUAUAC